CUAAACUAUACUAAAAGCUAAAUAUAAAGCCCUCUGAAGCAUGCCACGUCGGAUGAAAAAAUCGUCCAGUAGUAAUGCAGCAAAUAGCCACGUCAUCGGCGUGUUAAGUUGGUUUGGGCUUCGUGUUUUAUUAGGGCUUCUUCUCUUACUUUUAGCCAACCCUUCUCUGACGCUAAAGCCUCCUCCUCCGAUGAAUCUCCUGUAACGCCUUCUUACUCCAUUGAUUUGCCCCUUAAAUCCGUUCAUUUACUAGCUUCAUCCCACUCCUCCCACUCUAUAGCAUGUAACCGACCUCACCAUCUUCAUAUGUAACCGGCCGCCAUUACCAGGAAAGCUAUCAAAGAGAUGAAAAUCUUCAGAAAAGUACACCUAGCUUCUCGGCCCAAUGACGAGCUCCAACAACAAGAAGAACACACAAGCGAAUGAUUUUGAAGAUAUCAGUGAGAUUAUUAAAGCACUAAACAUCUCGACGGAUGACUUUGCUAUUAGAACGACCAGAUUCUGGAAAAUCAACUUUGCUCCUGGUUCUAGCAGAUAAAAGUUUAAAGGUUAGUUAACCCAUGAAGUUAUUUAAUAUGCUCUAAUAUUCACAUGAAUCGUAUGUUUGAUAUCUUUUUUUAAUUUAAUGGUCACAUGUGUAUUAAAAGGUUUUAUUUUUCAGAUAAAAUUAGCCUUUUGAUUUUUACAUAAAACGUUUGUGAGAAGUGAGAAUCUUCUAUAUAAAGUUUAGUUGCAGAUUAUAGGAUCUUAGUUACUCCGAAAAGCCACACAGAGGAUCUUAGCAAACCUUAGUUCUCUGCAGUACUGAACACUUUUUCCGACUCCCUGAUGCCCCCCCCCCUCUUGCCAUACGCUUCAAUAAUGCCACUUCUUUUGAAAAGUUGACGGAAUCCACAAAGCCGAAACCAACUGAACUUUUCCGGGUUUCGUCCGUCGGACCAACUACGUGCUUAGGCGAACACCAACAGACAGCUACCUGACAUACUUGGUGAGGUAAGUGCAGUCAGGAGCACAAUCAACGACCGUUCACAGGGGUCUCAACAUGUAAUGCGCUUACUCUACGUCUAGAGAGGGAUGUAACCCUCUGUGUCAGUAUAUUUGACUCCUUAGCUAUUUCCUUUCAUAAAUAAUUUUAAAGCUACAGAAGUGAGCCAAAAAUUGUCCUUGCCACCAGCAUUAAUCCAAAGAUAGUUGGAGGUUGUAAAUUUUACUAUGUGUAGUUUAUUCAUUUUAAUAUAGCUUUGGAGUAAUGCAUUGCAUAUAAUUUGUUUUUGACCGGAUAUAACUUCACAUAAAUUUGAUGUAUUCUUUGUAGGCCGGCUAUUUCUGAGCUUAACAUCUGGAACACAUAUUUACUUUGACACUGAGACAGCUCUAGGAAAAGAGAAGUUUGACAAACUGAGCUGAUGGCACAGAGCAGACGGCAGCGUCGUCAAAGGUAGCUCAUGUCCAGAAAAUUGAGCCACUCACCAUCUCUGAGCUUAAUGAAUAUGUGAUCGCUGCCCAGCCUCAGGCAUAUUCACUUAUGUAAAUUGAAAACCUCUGGAAAUUACACUACUCAUUAUACAUGUUCUUUGACGUUCCACAGAUAGUUGAGUUUCUCUGCGUUCCAGCUCAAGCUAACCGAGUCUAAAGGACCUUAAAGCGUUCGCAGAAGCAAUAGAUGUGGUUAGAGACAAAGGUGUUGCUAUGGCUGUGGCUGUGGCGUCCGCCGAAGACAUUGAUGCGGCGAACGUGCACGUCCAAACUUUUUCAGAGGUGAAGAAAGCUCUCUAAGCUGAUAAGUUUUACUGUAAUAAGAUUGAGAAUCUCUAUUAGAUUUGUUUCUCUGCUGCGAGGGAGUGUAUUGGCAAAGCUAAUAUAUUAAACGUGCGUAAAAAACUUUGUAGAAUAUGAGAGCGUAAAAAACUUGGUAGAAUUGCACUCAGAAAUUUCACCGUUGGAAUUUUGCUAGAAAGCUUACCAAAAAACUAUUUGAUGUAAUAACUCUGUAAUACUAAAUAAAUUUUCAAAAUAAUUCUGGGCGAAACUUUUCUAAAUCUACAUUUAAAUCUAAAUAACUUAACCUAAUAAUUUUACCAAAAGUUAACAACUUGCAUCAAUAUCAAUACAUAUUUUAAUUUUAAAACAAACAUACUUAAA
Brassica napus (rape) is the source of this 2142-nucleotide long non-coding RNA. RefSeq lists it as uncharacterized. Lineage: Eukaryota; Viridiplantae; Streptophyta; Magnoliopsida; Brassicales; Brassicaceae. The transcript has 6 exons. The record is from RefSeq and is a predicted model, not a curated record.